UACAGAGGUCUCGAGCGUUGUUCGGAUUCAUUGGGCGUAAAGGUGCGUAGGUGGCUAGGUAAGUCGGAUGUGAAAUCCCGGGCUCAACCCCGGAACUGCAUUCGAUACUGCCUGGCUUGAGUACUGGAGAGGAGAUUGGAAUUUACGGUGUAGCAGUGAAAUGCGUAGAUAUCGUAAGGAAGACCAGUGCGAAGGCGGAUCUCUGGACAGUUACUGACACUGAGGCACGAAGGCCAGGGGAGCAAACGGG
Molecule: ribosomal RNA, 250 nt
Filed under: uncultured bacterium
Lineage: Bacteria
Description: partial 16S ribosomal RNA
Rfam family: Bacterial small subunit ribosomal RNA
Source: RNAcentral